AUUUUCUCUAUUUUCUAUGGGUUGUUCAAGAACAUAUACUCCUAUUCCUUCUAGAAUUCCAAGGAUAUUGUUUAUAAGGAUAUGCUGGAUGGAUAAGAAGACAGGGCUAGCUGCUGCAGCUCGUUAACUUCCUCUGGCAAGGUAUUGAAGUAACAGGCCGUGGCUAGCUGGCGCUUCCGUGGAUCAGUUGAGACAUAUUGUCUGGGAAAGAAAUAUGAAAAUACCACCAAUAUAAUGGAAUCAUGCAUAUCACCGUACCAAAAAAGAGAGGAAAAUACU
Panicum hallii is the source of this 279-nucleotide long non-coding RNA. RefSeq lists it as uncharacterized. The record is from RefSeq and is a predicted model, not a curated record. NCBI's taxonomy places the organism in Eukaryota, Viridiplantae, Streptophyta, Magnoliopsida, Poales, Poaceae. The transcript is spliced from 3 exons.